RNAcentral lists this small nucleolar RNA (208 nucleotides) under Lachancea thermotolerans CBS 6340. Its description in RNAcentral is "Small nucleolar RNA snR31". It matches the Rfam family "Small nucleolar RNA snR31". Lineage: Eukaryota; Fungi; Ascomycota; Saccharomycetes; Saccharomycetales; Saccharomycetaceae. The record is from Rfam by way of RNAcentral.
AACUCCAUAAUCAACCAUGCGUUCCACUGGCGUCACUGAUACUUAAAUCCAUUAUUUCGGUUUGAUGCCUUAAAUAUAUGGUGGUACUAUGAAAGAUGCAUGGGAGAAUGACGGUUUAAGAUGUAUCUCCAGCUAUUGAAUGCGGGAAAGCUUUUCUCUUUUUUGCAGCUCAAAUCUGAUAUAGUUGGUCAUGAUUCUUGCGACAAAU